CCCCGUUAUCCCCGUUAUCCCGGAAUUCCGACAUUCCCAUUAUCCCGGUUUUUCCCGUUUUUUUUCCCAGCUCCAGCCCAUCCAGACGGCGCCGACGGCGCGCCGGGACCGCUCGCAGGACGCGGUGUACGGCGGCGUGACGGAGCUGGUGCGCGCCGUGCUGCAGCUCAAGGACGACAUCGCCCGCGCGCCGCCCGACGGACACGUCCUGGCCGUCAAGAACAUCGGGCUGUCCCUGCGGAAGCUGAUCGGCAGCGUGGACGCCGUCCUGCCCGAGCUGCCGCCCUCGUCCCGCACCGAGAUCGAGGGCACGCAGCGGGCGCUGAACAAGGAGCUGGCGGCGCUGAUCGCCAAGCUCCGCCUGGCGCAGCAGAACCGCGGCUCCUCGCUGGCGCCCGAGUGCCGCCGGCAGAUGCUCGCCGCCGCCCACGCCCUCGCCGUCGACGCCAAAAACCUCCUGGACGCCGUGGACCAGGCCCGGCCCCUCGGCACAGCCCCCCCCGAGUGACCGAGGGGAUGGAACGUUCCGGAAACGGGAGGAAAAUCGGAUUUUCCCGUGGUUUAUUUUCGCCCGCUUUUCUUCUUCCCGCUGCUCCUCGUCCUCCUCGUGUCUCGCCAAGCGUUGCGAUUUGGAAGAUGGGAGGGGUCUGGUGGGGUUUUGUUUGGAAGUCAUUGAAG
RNAcentral lists this long non-coding RNA (678 nucleotides) under Junco hyemalis (dark-eyed junco). Its description in RNAcentral is "lncRNA (ENSJHYG00000008121.1)". Lineage: Eukaryota; Metazoa; Chordata; Aves; Passeriformes; Passerellidae. The record is from RNAcentral.